Molecule: ribosomal RNA, 482 nt
Filed under: uncultured bacterium
Lineage: Bacteria
Description: partial 16S ribosomal RNA
Rfam family: Bacterial small subunit ribosomal RNA
Source: RNAcentral
AUUGAACGCUGGCGGCAUGCUUUACACAUGCAAGUCGAACGGUAACAGGCCGCAAGGUGCUGACGAGUGGCGAACGGGUGAGUAAUGCAUCGGAACGUGCCCAGUCGUGGGGGAUAACUACUCGAAAGAGUAGCUAAUACCGCAUACGAUCUAUGGAUGAAAGCGGGGGACCGUAAGGCCUCGCGCGAUUUGAGCGGCCGAUGUCAGAUUAGGUAGUUGGUGGGGUAAAGGCUCACCAAGCCAACGACCUGUAGCUGGUCUGAGAGGACGACCAGCCACACUGGGACUGAGACACGGCCCAGACUCCUACGGGAGGCAGCAGUGGGGAAUUUUGGACAAUGGGCGCAAGCCUGAUCCAGCAAUGUCGCGUGCAGGAAGAAGGCCUUCGGGUUGUAAACUGCUUUUGUACGGAACGAAACGGCUCUGGUUAAUACCCGGGGCUAAUGACGGUACCGUAAGAAUAAGCACCGGCUAACUACGUG